CCAAGGCAUCCUUCCUUGAUCUACGCUGUCUGGGCAGAAUGACUCAGGGAAAUUCCAGUUACAUAUCCUGAUUCUAGUACUCUAGUACUAGACUCUAGUAGCUACCCUGACUCUAGUACUCAAUCUUUUACAUGCAAACAGAACUUUACCCUUGGUAUUACUAUUCCUUUUCAAGUUCAAAGGAGAGGAGGUAGUAUUUGGGUGUUGGCUUUAGCAGCAAAAUACAACUACUAUACUGACUAGUCCAUUGAAGUGCUGUAUGCUGCAUCUGAAGAAAAUAUUCCUUUAGCAUCACGAUCCUGGGUAGGGAAGAAGAAAAGAAAUUCUGUCUUUCCUGCCAAUGAAAACCAAAGUAAAACAGAGGCAUGGGUGAAAAGAGGUAACCCUUCAAACUCUCAUGUGACUGAAGAUUCAUUAAAGAAUGAAGCUGAACCUAAAUCACAGGAAACCAUUACCUCCUCAGUUUCUCUACCAGGAAGUGUUACUAACUACUUGGAUGAAAUAC
This 505-nucleotide long non-coding RNA is filed under the name Crocodylus porosus (Australian saltwater crocodile). RNAcentral's name for it is "lncRNA (ENSCPRG00005006305.1)". Lineage: Eukaryota; Metazoa; Chordata; Crocodylia; Crocodylidae. The record is from RNAcentral.